AACGUAGAAGGAGAGCGUUAUCCGGAUUUUCUGAGCGUACAGCGCGCGUAGGUUGCACCGUAAGUCGGGCGUGAAAUCUCCUGGCUCAACUGGGAGGGGUCGUCCGAUACUGCGGAGCUUGAGGGCAGGAGAGGGAGGUGGAAUACCCGGUGUAGUGGUAAAAUGCGUAGAUAUCGGGAGGAACACCAGUGGCGAAGGCGGCCUCCUGGCCUGCCCCUGACGCUGAGGAGCGAAAGCGUGGGGAGCGAACCGU
Molecule: ribosomal RNA, 253 nt
Filed under: uncultured bacterium
Lineage: Bacteria
Description: partial 16S ribosomal RNA
Rfam family: Bacterial small subunit ribosomal RNA
Source: RNAcentral